RNAcentral lists this long non-coding RNA (294 nucleotides) under Carica papaya (papaya). Its description in RNAcentral is "long non-coding RNA (CPAP_LNC007528)". The record is from RNAcentral. Lineage: Eukaryota; Viridiplantae; Streptophyta; Magnoliopsida; Brassicales; Caricaceae.
UGAAGAGAGUUAUUUAUAUCCAUCUCUUUUAAUCUGGACUGUCCAUCACGUUUGAUCUGUACCAUCCGAUCGUGUUUAAAUAGAAAGUGGAUCUGGAUUGUUCAUCGCGAUUUAAUCUAAACCGUCUGAUCGAGUUUAAAUAGAAAGUGGAUCCGGACUGUUCAUUGUAAUUUGAUCUGGACCGUUCGUGCUCGCUGGUAAUAAAUCCGGACCGUCUGAUCGCGGGCACACAGUUCACUAGUGUGGCCUCCCGCAUGAUACUGCAUCAGCAUCCUUGCCAGGCGACGCACUCCG